UUCACAGGUACUGGCUGUCCAGGCUC
This 26-nucleotide unclassified non-coding RNA is filed under the name Mus musculus (house mouse). RNAcentral's name for it is "oocyte_clustered_small_RNA6264". Lineage: Eukaryota; Metazoa; Chordata; Mammalia; Rodentia; Muridae. The record is from RNAcentral.